Molecule: ribosomal RNA, 909 nt
Filed under: Acinetobacter lwoffii
Lineage: Bacteria; Pseudomonadati; Pseudomonadota; Gammaproteobacteria; Moraxellales; Moraxellaceae
Description: bacterial SSU rRNA
Rfam family: Bacterial small subunit ribosomal RNA
Source: RNAcentral
GGAUGGGAGCUUACCAUGCAGUCGAGCGGGGAGAGUAGCUUGCUACUUUACCUAGCGGCGGACGGGCUGAGUAAUGCUUAGGAAUCUGCCUAUUAGUGGGGGACAACAUCUCGAAAGGGAUGCUAAUACCGCAUACGUCCUACGGGAGAAAGCAGGGGACCUUCGGGCCUUGCGCUAAUAGAUGAGCCUAAGUCGGAUUAGCUAGUUGGUGGGGUAAAGGCCUACCAAGGCGACGAUCUGUAGCGGGUCUGAGAGGAUGAUCCGCCACACUGGGACUGAGACACGGCCCAGACUCCUACGGGAGGCAGCAGUGGGGAAUAUUGGACAAUGGGGGGAACCCUGAUCCAGCCAUGCCGCGUGUGUGAAGAAGGCCUUUUGGUUGUAAAGCACUUUAAGCGAGGAGGAGGCUACCGAGAUUAAUACUCUUGGAUAGUGGACGUUACUCGCAGAAUAAGCACCGGCUAACUCUGUGCCAGCAGCCGCGGUAAUACAGAGGGUGCAAGCGUUAAUCGGAUUUACUGGGCGUAAAGCGCGCGUAGGUGGCCAAUUAAGUCAAAUGUGAAAUCCCCGAGCUUAACUUGGGAAUUGCAUUCGAUACUGGUUGGCUAGAGUAUGGGAGAGGAUGGUAGAAUUCCAGGUGUAGCGGUGAAAUGCGUAGAGAUCUGGAGGAAUACCGAUGGGGAAAGGAGCCUUCUGGCCUAAUACUGACACUGAGGUGGAAAACCUGGGGAGCAAACAGGGAUAGAUCCCCUGGGAGUCCAUGCCGUAAACGAUGUCUACUUACCCGUUGGGGCCUUUUAAGCUUUUGUGGCGCCGUAAACGCAAUAAUAAACCCCCUGGGAGAUCCGGCCCAAAAACUAAACUCAAAUGAAUUGCCGGGGGCCCCCCAACCGGGGGAACAGGGGGUUA